Molecule: non-coding RNA, 638 nt
Organism: Saimiri boliviensis boliviensis (Bolivian squirrel monkey)
Lineage: Eukaryota; Metazoa; Chordata; Mammalia; Primates; Cebidae
Source: RefSeq, a predicted model, not a curated record
UUGGAGAAUGCCCUGCUUCACAUGCAUGUUAAUGGAAAUGACAAUGAAAGCCUUUUUCAGGGGAUUGCGGAGGUUCAGAAACCUAUGAACUCCUUUUUCUUGGAAUGAGUAUUCUUGUAUAAACCAGUGCCUUCUGCUGAGGGUUAAUCCAGUGCAGAAACAGCUUCAUCUUGUUAUCCAAGCGAACUUCUGGAGCUUCUGGAAGGAUGGCACUCUUAUGCCAGUGAAUGCUCUUUGGAUUUCUCGGUACCCAGAUCCUGACUCUGCUCAAAAGAUGCACUAGAUGUGGACAAAGCCUCUAGGCAAGAGGAGCCCUGUGAUGGCCCCAGUGAAGUCAGGGAGAUCAGGCUGUUCUCAUUCACCAGCAAUUGCUGAAUCUCCAGAGCCAUAGCAUUGCAGAUUUGGCAGCAGGGAUCUGCACACAGGAUUCGCCGCACACUUCCUUCCUGAGGAAGCCAGCCCUGACUGGGAAGAGAAACAUGACAAACAUUAGUGAUAGAGUGACAUCUGGCUUCUCAGAAGAGUGUGGGACAGGGUUGGCACUGUCCUUUCCUAGACCUGAAAAUCCUGGGGCCUACACUCUCUUAUUGUCUAUCUCUCUGCUUUUCUUCCUAAGAAAAUGCCAUUUGGAGGCCAGA